GUCUGUGGCGGACUGUGCAAGGCAGGCUUCGGCCUGGCCGGCCUUACGGUAUCCCGGUCUUCCACCCUUGCACGGUCCGCCUCCCUU
This 87-nucleotide non-coding RNA is filed under the name Pseudomonas knackmussii B13. The record is from RNAcentral. Lineage: Bacteria; Pseudomonadati; Pseudomonadota; Gammaproteobacteria; Pseudomonadales; Pseudomonadaceae.